UCCAUGUUCCAACAAGCUGCCCAGGUUAUUCUGAUCCAUGCCUUGGUUUAGCCCCUUAUUGAAAUCUUUUAUUUUAUAAUUGAGAAGAGUAAGACCCAGAGACAUUGGCAAAAGUUUCCCAGGGCCACCCAUGUGGUGAGCCGCGGAGUCCGGGCUCUGCUCCGGGCCUCCCAAUCGGCCUUCAGAGGACCAUACAAAAGCCAUGCUCUCCUGUCUCAGGUUUCACUUUGAAACCCUUUUGUUUAGAAAAGAGGAAUCUCUCCUCUCUUGGCAGGCUGCCUUCUCCUCCACCACAAAUAAUUCUUUCUUUCAAACAAAGCUAAGCUUUUCUAAAGCUUGAAAAUCCAUCCUAAUCACCGUGCAGUUUCCCUCUUGUAAAUCCUGCGAGGAGCUUAUGCCAUCUUCCCCUGGCCGAGCUGCAGAGAAGGGGCCUUGUCUCACACCUCAUCACCGCUGGAACCCAGUUGAUGGGAAUAAACAUCAGCCUGUUGGAUAGAAAAGACAGACUGCAAGGACAUCAUUGAUGCCAUUCUGUGGACUGGCCAGGUGAACUCUGGACCCAUACAGCAGGCCAUCAGGCAUGGCAUGAAGCUAGGAGCCACCAACUUACCAGUAUCCCCUCACUGAUGGCUCCAGCCACACUGGCCUCUGGAAUGUUCCUCAGACCUACACUGCUGUCUGCUCCAUCUGGAAUCCACUCCCUGCAUACAUCUGUAUGGCUCUCCAUCUCCUGCAGGCCUCUUCCCAAGGCCAUCUAAUCAGAGAAUGUGCCUGCCUAACCUAAUUAAGCCAGCACCCACAUCACUUCCUCUCCUUUUAUCCUGCUUUAUUUCAGCUCUUGACAUUUAUUAAGCUCUAACACACACACACACACACACACUUUUUUUUUUAAAUUUAUUUAUCUUAACUAUCCCCCAUCACUGAGACAUAUGGUAAAAGAAGUAAGGUCUUGGUUUCUGUGUGCUGCUGUGUUCUCAGUGCCAAGAAAAAUGAUGAACAUGUAGUAGACAGGUGAUUGAGUAAAUUUUAGCUAUUCUUGGACCUUUUGGGAAAAUGGGGUCAAUAGAAACCACUUAGCAAUAUUUGAUGCAGUUAAUUUCCUGGGAAAAUUCAUGAAGAAUUACAGGCAUAAAGAUUUUACAUGAAAAAUGGUCCUAAUUGUUGUGCUAGUAAUUGGAGAAGAGCUCCGGGGGAGACCUGGUGUUGCUGGAUGUCAACUCUGACUUAUAAAGCAAUAAACUCUGUAUGUGAAGUUG
Canis lupus familiaris (dog) is the source of this 1256-nucleotide long non-coding RNA. RefSeq lists it as uncharacterized. NCBI's taxonomy places the organism in Eukaryota, Metazoa, Chordata, Mammalia, Carnivora, Canidae. The transcript has 3 exons. The record is from RefSeq and is a predicted model, not a curated record.